AACUCGCGUACUCGUACGGCGAGCUUCUGGAGUAUAACUAAAAGAGAAAGGAAAGAAGAGCAAAGUCAAAAAGACGUAGAAGAAAGGAACGAAGAGAGCGAGGAGAGGAAACCUGAUGAAGAAAACUGCAGCAAUAGUACAGCAAAGAUAAUACAUUACGAAGAAAUCAAACUGGGACCAUUUUCGUGGGGGAAAUAUAACGAUAGAUGCGACAUUUGUUUCGUCGAAGGUCCUGAUGUUAAAUGCGAGUGCUCGACCCCUGAUGUUAAUCACAAAAUGCCAAUACUCACGAAGA
This is a non-coding RNA of Paramuricea clavata, 295 nucleotides long. Lineage: Eukaryota; Metazoa; Cnidaria; Anthozoa; Malacalcyonacea; Plexauridae. The record is from the annotation of a GenBank genome assembly.